Schizosaccharomyces japonicus yFS275 is the source of this 87-nucleotide transfer RNA. It matches the Rfam family "tRNA". Rfam says of the family: Transfer RNA (tRNA) molecules are approximately 80 nucleotides in length. Their secondary structure includes four short double-helical elements and three loops (D, anti-codon, and T loops). Lineage: Eukaryota; Fungi; Ascomycota; Schizosaccharomycetes; Schizosaccharomycetales; Schizosaccharomycetaceae. The record is from Rfam.
GCUUCUGUAGCUCAGUUGUGGUAGCAUCCCUCUCAUACCGUGCUGUGUGACAGGGGAAGGUCGUGAGUUCGAGCCUCACCAGGAGCA